GACGAACGCUGGCGGCGUGCUUAACACAUGCAAGUCGAACGGAAAGGCCCUGCUUUUGUGGGGUGCUCGAGUGGCGAACGGGUGAGUAACACGUGAGUACCCUGCCCUUGACUUUGGGAUAACUUCAUGAAACUGGGGCUAAUACCGGAUAGGAGCUCCUGCUGCAUGGUGGGGGUUGGAAAGUUUCGGUGGUUGGUGAUGGACUCGCGGCGUAUCAGCUUGUUGGUGGGGUAGUGGCUUACCAAGGCUUUGACGGGUAGCCGGCCUGGGAGGGUGAGCGGCCACAUUGGACUGGGAAUGAGACCCGGACUACUCCGGGAGGCAGGGGAGGAGAAGGGUACAUAGGGGGCGGAGCCCUGAUGUAGCAAAGCCGCGCGGGGGAUGAGGGGCUGGGGGUUGUAACCCGAUUUCGCCUGUGACGAGGCGUGAGUGACGGUACUGGGUGAAGAAGCACCGGCUAACUACGUG
Molecule: ribosomal RNA, 468 nt
Filed under: uncultured bacterium
Lineage: Bacteria
Description: partial 16S ribosomal RNA
Rfam family: Bacterial small subunit ribosomal RNA
Source: RNAcentral